CAGCAGCCGCGGUAAUACGAAGGGGGCUAGCGUUGUUCGGAAUUACUGGGCGUAAAGCGUGCGUAGGCGGCUUUUUAAGUCGGAUGUGAAAUCCCUGAGCUUAACUUAGGAAUUGCAUUCGAUACUGGGAAGCUAGAGUAUGGGAGAGGAUGGUAGAAUUCCAGGUGUAGCGGUGAAAUGCGUAGAGAUCUGGAGGAAUACCGAUGGCGAAGGCAGCCAUCUGGCCUAAUACUGACGCUGAGGUACGAAAGCAUGGGGAGCAAACAGGAUUAGAUACCCCGGUAGUCCCUGUCUCUUAUAC
RNAcentral lists this ribosomal RNA (301 nucleotides) under uncultured bacterium. Its description in RNAcentral is "partial 16S ribosomal RNA". It matches the Rfam family "Bacterial small subunit ribosomal RNA", at positions 509 to 807 of the family's 1533-position model. The record is from RNAcentral.